RNAcentral lists this unclassified non-coding RNA (2942 nucleotides) under Hevea brasiliensis (rubber tree). Lineage: Eukaryota; Viridiplantae; Streptophyta; Magnoliopsida; Malpighiales; Euphorbiaceae. The record is from RNAcentral.
AUGUGGUCAAGGGCAAAAUAUUAGCAAAUUGAGGAAGCUAAUAUUAAGCCUAUUCAUAUCACAAAUUACAGAAAUCACCUUGUUAUCUCAAAAAUUUCAAGAAUCGUAAUUAGUAUACAAAAAAAAUGCAACAUGGUACACUAAUAACAGCAAAAUUUAACUUAAAACAUUUUAAAAAAUGAAAAAAGAUAUAGGGGCAGAAUGUGUUGAACAAUCAAGGCACAACAUGAUGAAAUUACUCCAAUUAUAGUGCCUCCAUUUGACGUAUGAGACGCUCAAUAUUUUCUUCGAAUGAUUCCAGUUCUUGCUUGAGGGCACCAAGUUUUAAUGUAUUUUCUUCGUGAACGUUAGCACGAACUUUCUCUUUGUAGCCAGAGGUACUCAUGGUUUUGGUUAAGGUUUCAUAUUGCUUUCUCGUCUCCUCUCUCUUCUUUUUGAGCCUUUCAACUUCAGCCUCAGGGUUAAUGAUAGUCCCCUUAUCCUCGAGAAAAACUGUGAUUGAUUCAUCCACCACUUCUGUCAGCCAUUGAGUUGGAGCUGCAUCAGUGUCACUUGAGACCUUCAAAGAUGACAGUGUAGCUAAAGUAGAAAUCUCAAGUUCGCGGCUUUUUAUGAUCUCAACAGUAUCAUUUGUCCGGCAAAGCACAAACGCUUCUCGCCUUGCAAAUCUCUCCUUUGGAGGCAACAAUGCCCUCUUCGACCUCAGUCCUCUAACAAUGGAUGACACCUUUUCCAUCUCAGUUUCCACAUUAUCAUUAUUCCAGCUCUCUACAUAUGAAGGAUAAUCACUUAUCACUAUAGAUUCUUUCUUUAUAGAAUCCCCGCUAGCAGGAAGGCGCUGCCACAAUUCUUCGGUGACAAAAGGCAUAAAUGGAUGGAGUAAUCUCAACCCGUUAUCUAAGCAAAGCCACAAGGUGUCCUGAGCAGAUCUUCUUGCAGAUACAAAUUCUGGAUUAUCACCAGUGAAGUAUGGCUUGAUUACUUCUAUAAACACAUCACACAACUGAAACUGCCACCAAGAAUAUACUGCUGUUGCUGCAUCGGAGAAAUCAUAAGAUUCCAGGGAUGAGACAGUUCUUGCUAUGGCCUUGUUAAGUGCUGAGAGUAUCCACUGGCAGCUAAAAGGCAUUUCAUGAGGAACUAUCUUUGUUGGAGGGGUGUAAUCUUCACCCAAUUUACUCAUGGCAAACCUAAUGGCAUUCCACAGUUUGUUACACCAUUGACGAUAACCAACCACUCUCUGAAUAUCAAGAUUGAUCUUAUCGGACUGGGCAGUGUAUGAGACAAGGGCAAAUCGAAGAGCAUCUGCACCACAUUCAGGAAUACCAUCAGGAAAGUCCUUUGCCUGUCCCUCUUUUGCCCUCUCAAAUUCUUUUGCGUCUAGGUUACCCUCCUUUAAUCUCUUAUGAAGACCAUCAAGUGUGAUUCCAUUAAUAACUUCAAGGGGAUCAAUAACAUUUCCCAACGACUUCGACAUCUUACGCCCAUGAGCAUCGCGGAUCAUUGGAUGCAAAUAAACCUUUGAAAAUGGAAGAUCACCUCCCAGCUUUAUUCCCAACAUUACCAUUCGUGCGACCCAGAAGAAGAGAAUAUCAUGUCCGGUUUCAAGAACUGAAGUUGGAUAAAAUGUUUUGAAAUCUGCAGUAUUAUCUGGCCACCCCAAUACAGAUAAUGGGAAAAGACCAGACGAAAACCAGGUAUCCAGCACAUCUGGAUCUUGAGAGAGCUCAACAAUCUUCUUCCCCGAAAAUUUCCUAGAAGCCAAAUCUCGAGCUUCUUCUUCAUUUCUAGCAACAAUCCAGUGAUCGUCAGACACACCAAAUUCCUUCUGCUUAUCAUCACUCAGUGUGACAUACCAAGCAGGAAUACGAUGACCCCACCAAAGUUGCCUUGAGAUGCACCAAUCACGAAUAUUCUCAAGCCAUCUUCUCCAUUCAGCACCAUAUUGCUUUGGGAUGAUCUCCAGUUUCUGAUUAUCCUCAUCCACAACAGCAUCCAAAGCCUGCUUGGCCAUAAUUUUGCAGUUGACAAACCAUUGAGGCUUUAUAAGAGGCUCCACUACAUCAUUGCUUCUUGAACAAAUCCCAAGGCGCAUCUCAUUAUUCUUAGCACCCCUGUAGAGACCCUUUUCUUUUAAAGCUUCUGUUACAGCGACACGAGCUUUGAAACGAGGCAUUCCUUCAAAGUCUGGACCAGCAUUGCUAUUUAUAUUCCCAUCAUCAGUAAAAAUACUUAUGAAUUCUAGUUUGUGACGCUGUCCAACCUCAAAAUCAUUUGGGUCAUGGGCUGGAGUUAUCUUAACAGCACCAGUCCCAAAGUUCAUAUCUACAAGUAUAUCAUCACAAACUAUUGGAAGCUGUCUUCCAUUGAAUGGAUGAAUAGCAAAUUUCCCAUGAAGGUGACUGUAUCUUUUGUCUUCAGGAUGUAUAGCAAUUGCAGUAUCACCAAGCAUAGUUUCAAUUCUGGUGGUCGCCACAACAAUUUCACCAAGAUCGCCUUCUAAGGGGUAAGCAAAUGAGGUCAGCAACCCGAACUCCACGGGUUCUUCAUAUCCAGGAACAUUCAGAAGUGUCCUCUCUUUGAUGUCUGUAUAUUCAACCUCAAUAUCAGAGAUUGCAGUACGCAAGACACAAUCCCAAUGCACCAUACGUGGAGCCCUGUAUAUAAGACCUUCAUUGGAAAGCCUAACAAAUGCUUCAGUUACAGCCUUAGACCUUUUCUCAUCCAUGGUAAAGCACUCACGAGACCAAUCAAGUGACGCACCCAGGCGACGUAAUUGCUGUAGUAUGGUACCCCCGUACUCAUUCUUCCAAUUCCAGACCUCAGCAACAAACUUCUCCCGACCAAUAUCAUGUCUAGUCAAAUUCCUUUCUCGCAUGAUCUUCUUCUCCACAACAACCUGAGUUGCUAUCCCAGCAUGAUCCAUCCCGGGGACCCACAAG